UCACUAGAUCAACUGCAUAUGCUGUCCUGUCUAGUGUGCGAAAGAUAAAUUACCUCCCACCCAACCUCUGAUAUCUCCCUAAGUCAAUUAACUCCCUAACUACUGCUUGUAAUCUAUAAUUAGUUUCAAUAGGUGAUUUUACAGGCUUACAGCCUAACAUACAUGUUUAUUAUAAGAGGUCUAAAAUAUACUUCUGUUUUGAAAUGAAGAUUCCUUUGUCUAAUCUACAACCUCUAUCCCAUGGAGUACCUUAAUUUACCCAACUCUUUAAUCUAAAACUCAUAUGCCAAGUCCCAAUAGCUCUUUCAGAUGGGCAAUUUUCUCGUUAUUAUCUCCUAUUACAACUAUAUUAUCUACAUAAACAAUAAGCAAUGUGAUUUUACCUCUAUGUUUUUUUCAUGAAUAGGAUAUAAUCGGCAUUGCUUUAAUAGAAAUCAAAGGAAAUCACGGCCUUACUAAAUCUAUCAAAUUAUGCUCUUGGUGACUGCUUCAAGCCAUAUAGUGUCUUUGUCAAUCUACAGGCUUUUCCUUUGGUCUUUUCACUCUCAAAUCCUGGAGGGAUCUCCAUAUAUACUUCUUCUUCCAAAUCUCCAUGCAGAAAAGCAUUUUUCACAUCAAACUGCUGUAGGUCCCAUUCAAGGUUUGUAGCACAUGACAGUAAGAUCCUGAUUGUAUUCAUUUUAGCAACAAGCACAAAAGUCUCUAGAUAAUCCACCUUAUAUGUCUAAAUAAAUCCUUUUGCCACCAGCCUGGCCUUAUAUCUUUCAAUAGAACCAUCUGCUUUAUGCUUUAUAGUGAACAACCAGUUUCUUCCUCAGAGAAAGAGUAACAAGAUUCCGUGUCUCAUUUUUUGUUAAAGCCUUCAUCUCUUCUACCAUAGCUACCUUCCAAUUUGGAUCAAGGAAUGCAUCCUUCCAAUCCACAUAAUUCUUCAGGCUCAAAAUGUUCAAGAGCUGAAUCCAGAGGUUUUGACUGAUCAGUCAUAUCCUGCUCAAUGGUUGUAUUUAUCUUAUUCCGAUGAGUGUAGAUUCUUAAAUCCAAUCUAUUCAAUCCCCUGUGAUUUGAGGUUGGGGUUGAGGAACUA
Molecule: unclassified non-coding RNA, 1084 nt
Filed under: Hevea brasiliensis (rubber tree)
Lineage: Eukaryota; Viridiplantae; Streptophyta; Magnoliopsida; Malpighiales; Euphorbiaceae
Source: RNAcentral